GACGAACCGUGCGAACGUUAUUCGGAAUCACUGGGCUUAAAGCGCGUGUAGGCGGAUCGGCACGUCGGCGCCUGAAAUCCCCCGGCUCAACCGGGGAACGUGGCCCGAAACGACCAGUCUGGAGGGACGUAGGGGGAGCUGGAACUUCCGGUGGAGCGGUGAAAUGCGUUGAGAUCGGAAGGAACGCCCGUGGCGAAAGCGAGCUCCUGGACGUCUGCUGACGCUGAGACGCGAAAGCUAGGGUAGCGAACGGGAUUAGAAACCCUAGUAGUCC
RNAcentral lists this ribosomal RNA (274 nucleotides) under uncultured prokaryote. RNAcentral's name for it is "partial 16S ribosomal RNA". It matches the Rfam family "Bacterial small subunit ribosomal RNA", at positions 524 to 796 of the family's 1533-position model. The record is from RNAcentral.